ACUCUUACCGGCGGAUGUCUUGGCUCCCACAACGAUGAAGAACGCAGCGAAAUGCGAUACGUAAUGCGAAUUGCAGAAUCCAGUGAAUCAUCAAAAUUUUGAACGCAUGUUGCACUUCCU
Molecule: ribosomal RNA, 120 nt
Filed under: uncultured Pelagophyceae
Lineage: Eukaryota; Pelagophyceae
Description: partial 5.8S ribosomal RNA
Rfam family: 5.8S ribosomal RNA
About the family: 5.8S ribosomal RNA (5.8S rRNA) is a component of the large subunit of the eukaryotic ribosome. It is transcribed by RNA polymerase I as part of the 45S precursor that also contains 18S and 28S rRNA.
Source: RNAcentral